GGAGGGGUGGGUGAGUGGCUGAAACCGGCGGUCUUGAAAACCGCAUUCCGGGAAACCGGGACGAGGGUUCGAAUCCUUCCCCCUCCGCCA
This 90-nucleotide transfer RNA is filed under the name Acidobacteriota bacterium. RNAcentral describes it as "tRNA-Ser". It matches the Rfam family "tRNA". From Rfam's summary of the family: Transfer RNA (tRNA) molecules are approximately 80 nucleotides in length. The record is from RNAcentral. RNAcentral also lists the same sequence under 2 other names. Lineage: Bacteria; Pseudomonadati; Acidobacteriota.